UUCUGAUUUUACAGAUGAAUAAACAAGGCCGGAGAGGCUAGGUGACUUGCUCCGACUAAACAGCUUGACCAGCCACUAGGACCAACUUUUUGCUGCCAAGCUUUACUUCCUCCAGGGUUAGCCUGGGCUGUUUCCAUGAUUGCCAUGACUUCAGGCUGCUGCAAUCCUUUCUGCCAGCUCCACUCACUCAGUGAUAGCUCUUUGCCACUUGCUUCCUGGGAGCUCACACUACCCUCCUUGCAGCCUCAAGAGUGCAAUUCAAGCAUGCUCCUGGAGCCUUUGAGUCAUCUGUUUGUGAAUCAACCUCCAUCCAAUCUAUUCUGAACACGGAGAUCUCAUCCUCCUCCAGUUUCUGGAACUGGGAGCUGGUGUUUUUCCCUUGUAUUUUCAUUACUGUCUUCCACCUCUCUGGCCCAUAACUUUGAUAAAAGGUUUGUUCCACAUUGUGACCAGGAAAACAGCUCAGAAAAACUUGCGUCACUAGGGCCCAGUGGGGUGUGCUCCAUCAAACAGGACAUGUGUCACGAGCCUUCUAAGAAUCAGGAGGAAGGAAGUCAUUCAUAAAGGAGGCAGAUGCUGAACUGCAACUCUGGUUUCCUCUUCCAAGUCCUUGGACUGUAGAAACAUUGCUCCAGAGGCCGAAUUUCUCUAAAUGCACCUCCAGAAGCUCCGUCCUUAUCCACAUCAAGACAUAUCCCAAAAGUGGCUGAUUCAGCCCAUCUUCCCCACAAUGGGGGUGGGGACUCCCAAGCCUGGUUUACAUACCGACCUCGGGACACAGAAGUUUGUAGGGAUGGACAUGACUUCUGAAAGCAUGGUAAGGAAACAUCCAGAAACCUGAGUGCUGCCCAUACUUACAAAAAGUUGCAAACCGUUUCUUACUCCUAAUGUAGGAAGCUUCAUGAUGUUUGAAGGUGAUUAAAAACAAAACAAAAAAACCUGCUUCUAUCAAGAGCAAAUCAAAGCCUUUAUUAAACCUUCCUCCUUCAAAUGGCCUGCACGAAAAUCUAUGCCCUCCCCCAGACUUGGAACUGCUAGAGCUGGUUGAGUACCCCUUUCCCUUAACAGGUUAGAUCCAAUCAGGCCCCACAAAACUGAAAAGCCAAGCCAAGACACACUAGAACUCUGCAGUUCUGUGCCCCUACUCAGAAUCGAGGCAAAGGUUGGAAGUGCCAGCUCCUGACCCAGAGCUCAAGCACAGGAGAAGAGGAGCCUGAAUUCUGGCCCUCCUUGUCCUACGCCCAGCUGUGUUGAGCUGGCCAAAUGGCCCUAGGCCGCCACUUGAUGAGGCUUACACAUGUGCUUUUCCUUCUUUUCUCCAAAGAAAAGGGUGGAAGAUGGAAGAGGCAAUUUUCAGUUGUGUGUGAUUGAUUUUAAGGCUUUGGCUGUGUGGUCAGUUGCUGUAUUAAAAUACUUUCUGGGAACACCAUCUUCUAAGCUCCCCAUCCGAAAAAA
Long non-coding RNA from Dipodomys ordii (Ord's kangaroo rat), 1455 nucleotides. RefSeq lists it as uncharacterized. Lineage: Eukaryota; Metazoa; Chordata; Mammalia; Rodentia; Heteromyidae. The record is from RefSeq and is a predicted model, not a curated record. The transcript has 2 exons.